AUUAUAUUAAAUAAAUUAAAGUAGUAUUUAAACUAAUUUAAUAUGGCGGCAUAUUAUUAAAUUAGAGGAACUUGUCCUCUAAUCGAUAAUCCACGUUAAUUUUUUACUUUUUAUAAAAAUUUAUAUAUCGUUGUUUAGAAUUUUUUUUUAUUUAAAUUCAUAUUAUAAAAUAAAUCAAGGUGUAAUUAAUUAUAAAGUAUGAAGANUGUGUUAUUUNUAAAUAUUAUUUAAAGAUAUUUAUUGAAAUUUUUAUGAAAUUCAGAUUUAAUAAAGUAAUUAUNUAAAUAAAAAUUUAUUUNUUGAAUUAUAAAUAUAUGUGUACACAU
RNAcentral lists this ribosomal RNA (326 nucleotides) under Gephyroctenus sp. Its description in RNAcentral is "partial small subunit ribosomal RNA". The record is from RNAcentral. Lineage: Eukaryota; Metazoa; Arthropoda; Arachnida; Araneae; Ctenidae.